GCACUUUCAGUUAUUUUCAUUUUUCUAACUGUUUUUCAGACUAGAUAUUGACAAAUGUAGGACUUCAUGCAGCAUAUGCUUCCUUCUCAUUCCCUGUCAAUGUAGGAAAUGAGGGGGGGGAGCAUGGGUGGCUGGGUUAAAAUUGUAUUUUUGGAAGCAAAAAUACAAAAAUCGCAUAGUUGAUCAGAAAAGCAUGACCAGCAGAUCAGAAUAAACUAGGACAAAACAGAAGCGAAAUGCUGUGGAAAUUCAACUAGUAAGAAAUGCUAAAAGUCAUGUUUCCCUAGAAAAGUUGCUUUCAGGACAGACGUCUAUCUGCUUUUGGUUUGCAGAAAAAAAAAUGUGCGCUCCUCGAGUGGAAAUGCACCAAUAGAUAUGACAAGGAAGUUCUGGAGUGUAAAUAAAAUUGUCCUACUUCAUAAUUAUAACCAAUAAAAUGCUAAGAAAUGAUAGAUGGCAGUAAAGAUUAAAAAUAUGAGUUCUUACAUGAAGGAAAACAAUUUCUGCACAUCUCAAGUGUCGCUGAUGUCGUCAAAUAAUAGUAAUCAUUCUUCUUCCUCUUGCCUGGUGUUUGAUGUUGAUGUGCCGUACUAAGAAUAGACAUCUCACACCGUAAGACUCACACCUACUAUGUUAAAUAGAUCUGUUGACCUGAAGAUAUGAUGGCUAAAGAGGAUGAGGAGCUUUACCUCACCUUAGCCCUCCUGUCACAGCGGCUGAUCUGUAAGUCUCUGAUUUACGCCGAACAUAGCAUGAAAUGCAUAUCUGAUUAUUUUCUAUACAGCAAGGACAAACAAAUCACUUGGUUUCUGUUCUUAGACAUUAACUGAAGCAUGAAUGGAAAGAAUAAUGUAGGCCUGAGGACAUUUUGCCCGUGAAACCAAUGUGAAUGAAGGCAGAGUGGGAUGAGGGGACUGGGAUGAGAAAGGCCAUAUGGAGCUGGAAGCAAUGGGAGGCCAGUUUAGUAACAGCAUGUGUCAUUGUCUCUUAACAGAAUCACACAGCUCUGCAGAACAAGGCAUUGUGAGUCUUGCUUUUGUUUGUAUGUGUGAUCAAUUCCAAUUUGGAGUAUUCUGAAGAAAAGACAAGACAAGUAAAGUCCCCAUAAGUCAAUGGUUCAUCCAUGAAUAAACUUGCAUUUCAACUGCUGGCUUAUAAAGACCAUGACUCAGCCUAAGUAGAGCUUCUCAGCAUCCAGUUUUCACGAGCGUAAGUUCAUGAAAAUUAUUGAUGUACUUCAACUCUGACUCGACUUCCUGCAGAACAACACAAUCGGACCAAACUUGUGCCUCUGCAUCUUAAUAAACAGGAGAUUCCUCAGUCGCUUUCAAAAUGCAAAAUACUGCAUAAACCAAACAAGAAUUAAAACUGUAUAAGACAAAAAAAAAAAAAUUAAGAUCUCACCCAAAGUAUUCCAGCCAUGGUUCAGUCCUCUUCUUCUUCUUUUGUUGUAGAUUUUUAUCUUUUUUUCCUCGGGUGUUAAACCAUCUUCUGUCCACUCUUGUGGUUUGUGCACAGCAGUGACUGGUUAAGGUUACGUUCCCCAACCAGAACACAACUUCUGCCUCCUCCCUCCCUCCAUUUCUCCUGCCGGCCACUUAGGUUGCCUCAUCAGCCCGGUCCCAACAUAGACUCCGCUGUCCUAAGUCAGGCAACGUGCUCUCUCCCUCUCAUCCUGAUUACAGAAGAUUUGCGGAUUAAGAGAAAGAAACAGACAGAAGCCAACCUUGCUCCCCCUGCUAUCAGUUUGUUGAGUUAUUCUGCUCUUUCUCUCAUCUUCUUGACUCUCUCACACACUCUGCCCGUCCACAGCUCUGAGCUGCCCGUCUGUUGUGUGACAGAAAACCUUUCUUUUUUUCCAAAAAAAAAAAAAAAAGUGUUCUGACUGAAUCAUUAAGGCUAUGAGUCUGUAAAAAAAAUAAAAAAUAAAACAA
Molecule: long non-coding RNA, 1934 nt
Organism: Poecilia latipinna (sailfin molly)
Lineage: Eukaryota; Metazoa; Chordata; Actinopteri; Cyprinodontiformes; Poeciliidae
Exons: 3
Source: RefSeq, a predicted model, not a curated record